CAACAAGGACCCAGGACAUGAGGAAGACUUUUCUAGAGGGUCCUACAACUUUGGGCAUUCGGAGUCACGUGGAAGACACCAAAUCACCCCGUUGCAGACAGGCAGGUCUGCCCAUGCCCUACCGAGGUCCUGAGUUGCACAGAACAUGCCGAAUCAGCCCACUGGACACAGGAAGGUCUGUGCACACCCUACCGAGGUCCUGAGUCACGCGGAAGACACCAAAUCUCCUCACUGCAGACAGGCAUCCACCUGGUUCCACACUACAAAGAUGCAGAGGACACCAGACCACCAGACCAAGGCUUGUUUUGUGUCUUGCCAUUUUAUCUAUCCUUGAGAAUGGUUCAUGUGCAGCUGAGAAAAUAUGUACCCUGCAGCUGUUGGAUGAGAAGUUCUACAAAUGUCUGACAACUGAGAUGGACGAGCACUAGGAAACAUGAAGAUGCUCCGCGACUGUCAUUCCCCCAACCUGCAACCUUCUGCAACAUGAACAUGGAGCUGACAGACCAGAAACGAUGCCCAUACUUUAAGUUUGCACUCUUCCUGAUGCCCUGAUUUUGAGCACUGUUAGUAGGAGGGAACUCAAGCACUAGGUUCCAGUUUAUCAUUUGUAG
Molecule: long non-coding RNA, 611 nt
Filed under: Heterocephalus glaber (naked mole-rat)
Lineage: Eukaryota; Metazoa; Chordata; Mammalia; Rodentia; Bathyergidae
Description: lncRNA (ENSHGLG00000040970.1)
Source: RNAcentral